This 483-nucleotide ribosomal RNA is filed under the name uncultured bacterium. RNAcentral describes it as "bacterial SSU rRNA". It matches the Rfam family "Bacterial small subunit ribosomal RNA", at positions 30 to 504 of the family's 1533-position model. The record is from RNAcentral.
UGAACGCUGGCGGCAUGCCUAACACAUGCAAGUCGAACGGAAACGAUGGAAGCUUGCUUCCAGGCGUCGAGUGGCGGACGGGUGAGUAAUACUUAGGAAUCUGCCCAUUAGUGGGGGACAACAUUCGGAAACGGAUGCUAAUACCGCAUACGCCCUACGGGGGAAAGCGGGGGAUCUUCGGACCUCGCGCUAAUGGAUGAGCCUAAGUCGGAUUAGCUAGUUGGUGAGGUAAAGGCUCACCAAGGCGACGAUCCGUAGCUGGUCUGAGAGGACGAUCAGCCACACUGGGACUGAGACACGGCCCAGACUCCUACGGGAGGCAGCAGUGGGGAAUAUUGGACAAUGGGGGAAACCCUGAUCCAGCAAUGCCGCGUGUGUGAAGAAGGCCUGCGGGUUGUAAAGCACUUUCAGUAGAGAAGAAAAGCCUACGGUUAAUAACCGUGAGUCUUGACGUUACCUACAGAAGAAGCUCCGGCUAACUCC